GAUCCUGGCUCAGGACGAACGCUGGCGGCGUGCCUAACACAUGCAAGUCGAACGGAGAAUUUUAUUUCGGUAGAAUUCUUAGUGGCGAACGGGUGAGUAACGCGUAGGCAACCUGCCCUUUAGACGGGGACAACAUUCCGAAAGGAGUGCUAAUACCGGAUGUGAUCAUCUUGCCGCAUGGCAGGAUGAAGAAAGAUGGCCUCUACAAGUAAGCUAUCGCUAAAGGAUGGGCCUGCCGU
RNAcentral lists this ribosomal RNA (239 nucleotides) under uncultured bacterium. RNAcentral describes it as "partial 16S ribosomal RNA". It matches the Rfam family "Bacterial small subunit ribosomal RNA", at positions 15 to 236 of the family's 1533-position model. The record is from RNAcentral.